GCAACACGUACAGUGGGCCUAAUACAUCCAUCUAAUACUAUACCAGCAACACGUACAGUGGGCCUACAUAACAAACGUUACAUCACUGAUUCAAUUCAACACAACUUUAUCAAUCGCGUCAAGGGCAACCCAGAAAGCAUAGUCGGACACAGAACACAUUACUUUAGACAUUCAGACUGUACAGGUGUAGAAGUGCAAUACAUUACGUGAAACAGAACAAGUUACUCUGAGACGCUUGAUACAUACAUGUACGGCCCCUGAAGAUGUUUGUAAGACAAACAUGUUGGAUGGAUGAGAGAGGAGGUGUUAGAUGUUGUGAUUACAGGGAUGCUCCUCAGGGAGAGGAGGUGUUAGAUGUGAUUUGCAGAGAGGUUCUUCAGGGUGUGUAUUUGAUGUUAAUGUAUAUAUGUAAAAUGUGUUUAUUCUAUGCUCUCAAUUUCUAUGUCCCAUCAGUUGUGCCUUCUGUUGGUAACAAGAGCCCUUCAUGUUCUGGUCUAGAUUUAGUUAGUUCUUACUCAGAGAAACUGUAUGUGUUUUUGUGUCUUUGUGUGUGUGUGUGUGUGUGUGUGUGUGUAUAUAUAUAUUUAUACAGUACCAGUCAAAAGUUUGGACACACCUAUUCAUUCAAGGGUUUUUCUUUAUUUUUACUAUUUUCUACGUUGUAGAAUAAUAAUGUAGACAUCAAAACUAUGAAAUAACCCAUUUGGAAUCAUGUAGUAACCAAAAAGGUGUUAAACAAAUCUAAAUAUAUUUUAUAUUUUUGAUUCUUCAAAGUAGCUACCCUUUGCCUUGAUGACAGCUUUGCACACUCUUGGCAUUCUCUCAACCAGCUUCACCUGGAAUGCUUUCCCAACUGUCUUGAAGGAGUUCCCACAUUUGCUGAGCACUUGUUGGCUACUUUCCUUCACUCUGCUGUCCAACUCAUCCCAAACCACCUCAAUUGGGUUGAGAGUGGAUAAUUGUGGAGGCCAGGCUCUGAUGCAGAACUCCAUCACUCUCCUUCUUGGUCAAAUAGCCCUUACACAGCCUGGAGGUGUGUUGGGUCCUGUUGAAAAACAAAUGAUAGUCCCACUAAGCGCAAACCAGAUGGGAUGGCGUAUCGCUGCAGAAUGCUGUGGUAGCCAUGCUGGUUAAGUGUGCCUUUAAAUCAGUCGUUUCUCUUUUCUUAUUUGAGAUGUUCUUGCCAUAAUAUGGACUUGGUCUUUUACCAAAUAGGGCUAUCUUCUGUAUACCACCCCUACCUUGUCACAACACAACUGAUUGGCUCAAACGCAUUAAGAAGGAAAGAAAUUCCACAAAUUAACUUUUAACAAGGCACACCUGUUAAUUGAAAUACAUUCCAGGUGACUACCUCAUCAAGCUGGUUGAGAGAAUGCCAAGUGUGUUCAAAGCUGUCAUCAAGGCAAAGGGUGGCAACUUCGAAGAAUCUGUUUAAUUUGUUUAACACUACAUUGGUUACUACAUGAUACCAUAUGUGCUAUUUCAUAGUUUUAUGUCUUCACUAUUAUUCUAUAAUGUAGAAAAUAGUAAAAUAAAAAACGUAGAAUGAGUAGGUGUGUCCCAACUGUUGACUGGUACUGCUCAAGUGUUGUAUAACUAGUCUUCCAGAUUGACCAUCGAAGGAUAAAGUGCUAUCCUGUCCUGUUACUUGAAUUGUCUAUUUAUUUAUUUUAACCUACUAGGUUGCCAUCAACCCGGUUACCUUAUAACGUACAUAUAUAUCCAUGAACAAGAGGUAUACAUACCAUUAGGGCUGCAAAAUACCCCAAAUUCCUAGGUUUUCCAGAAAUACCCCUUGGAGGAUUCCCAGAUUUCCUCCUUAUUCCUUGCCAAUUCUAGUUUUGUUUUUCCAACCCUGGGAAUCUGGGAAAGUUUCAGGAAUUUUGCAUCCCAUCAAGGUACUUAAGAUCUGCAACAUUCUUUACUUAAGUCAAACCUUACUGUAGAAUUUUCCCAAAAUUCCCAGGUUUUCCACAAAUCCCAGCUGAAAUAUUCCUGGAAUCUGAAGGGUAUAAGCAAGAAAUCCAGGGAUACUCUUACCCGGAUUUCUGGAAAUUUUGUUCAACCCUACUGUAUAAUCUACUAUGAGGUGUUAAUAUUACAAAUAUUGUACUCAACAUUACCUACCUGUGUUUACUGUUUCAUAGAACAGUUGUGUUAUGGCAUACAGUGAAUGAAUAGAUGGAGAAAUAAAAUCCAAGGUCAAGUCAUACCUCCUUUCUUUGCCUCUUAAAGUAGCAGUUAUCAAGUUAGUAGAGAUACUUACUGUACAGACAGAGGUGUAUUAGCCUCAAACCUCAUAGGCUAAGAUCAGGAUUCAAAUGAUCGUGCUUUGUCAGCUAUGCGCCAGUAAAAAUCAAUUUCUCAAUGAGCUGACGUACGUAGAGUUUACCAUUAAUGCGGUCUCCGUGACAAGGGAACAUUGCCUUUAAAAGAUACAAUGCUGACAAAGAGCAGGCGGAUUACAUCCUAGACUAAAUAUUCUAUCCUCCAAAUACUAUACCAUAUUAUUCCAAUGGAAUACAUUAUGGAGAACUACUACAUGCAUGUACAGUGUAGACACAAAGGACAUCAACAUAAUUAUAUAUACAGUGAGGGAAUAAAGUAAUAAUAACAUACAAAUAAUAUACAAAUAAUAACACAAAGAAUAAAUACACAAUGAUUC
This 2665-nucleotide long non-coding RNA is filed under the name Salmo salar (Atlantic salmon). Its description in RNAcentral is "lncRNA (ENSSSAG00000087626.1, ENSSSAG00000117031.1)". The record is from RNAcentral. Lineage: Eukaryota; Metazoa; Chordata; Actinopteri; Salmoniformes; Salmonidae.